RNAcentral lists this non-coding RNA (27 nucleotides) under Rattus norvegicus (Norway rat). Lineage: Eukaryota; Metazoa; Chordata; Mammalia; Rodentia; Muridae. The record is from RNAcentral.
UGUCAAACUUUUUAAAUGGUUGAGCUU